This 315-nucleotide ribosomal RNA is filed under the name Triticum aestivum (bread wheat). RNAcentral describes it as "partial small subunit ribosomal RNA". Lineage: Eukaryota; Viridiplantae; Streptophyta; Magnoliopsida; Poales; Poaceae. The record is from RNAcentral.
AUGACAAAAGCCAUUAAUGAUAAGUAUCUGGGUUUGCCAGCUACGUUGGGGCUGGACAAGACUGAUAGUUUUCAGUACUUGGUGGAUCGGUUGAUCUUGAAACUGACUGGAUGGAAGGAGAAAAGCCUGUCUUCUGGAGGUAAAGAUGUGCUUAUUAAGUCUGUAGCACAAGCCAUACCAGCCUAUGCGAUGUCGGUCUUCAAAAUUCCUAAGAAAAUUUGUAAAGGAAUUACAGAUGCGAUAGCAAGGUUCUGGUGGGGUGAUGAUGCAUCACACAAGAGAAUGCACUGGUUUGCUUGGUGGAAGAUGUGUAUA